Molecule: long non-coding RNA, 525 nt
Organism: Cervus elaphus (red deer)
Lineage: Eukaryota; Metazoa; Chordata; Mammalia; Artiodactyla; Cervidae
Exons: 4
Source: RefSeq, a predicted model, not a curated record
GGGGAACAGACAUGAGAGUGAAGCUUUCUUGGACUUGCCCGUCCAGCCUAGCCACCAGCUGAACGCAGGCCAGGAACGGACCCAGCCAACAUCAUGGAACAGCGCUACUCUAGCACGAUCUUUGGCUUUAUCUCUAAGAGGCCCAUGCAGUGAAAAAUUGAAUCAAUUUCUCAGAUAAUUCAAAUCAAAAGGGUUUUAGCUAUUAUUCACCAGGACCAAGCUACCCUAAAAUACAAACAGUGUUUUAUGAGAAAAAAGAAGCCUGCUUUCAUCAUUCCAAAUGAAGCCUUUGGGCAUUUCAAGUAAUACAUGUUACAGCUUUGAAGAAUAAAGAUAUUGAAUGGCCAUGGCCAAAAGGAGAUCAACAGAACAAGAUGCCAAAAUCAUCAGCAAGACCUGCCAUUGGAUUCCUUUGAAUCUUUUCUGUGAGUGUUGGUAUUAAUCAUUGAACUACAGGAAUGCCAUAAUUAUCAUAUAUUUAUCUCACUUUGCUUCACUGAGACUAUUUUACUAAUGAAUGAUUGA